This 10815-nucleotide long non-coding RNA is filed under the name Drosophila guanche. The record is from RNAcentral. Lineage: Eukaryota; Metazoa; Arthropoda; Insecta; Diptera; Drosophilidae.
AGAUUAGCGUGUCUCCAACUCAUUUCGAGACCAUUUGCUCUUCCAAAUUUUGGCCAGAGCACCUGGUUCUGAAAGAGUUUAAGGCUAAGAAGAAAAAUAGGCCCCCUAUAACUCUUCCUAGUAGUGAGGAAACUGGUCUUUCCUCCUCUGCUCCAUCCACCUCUUCCCACUGCAAUUCCUUGCAGUCAAAAAACUAUCAUCCCUCUUUGUAGCCUAUCAAAAUGCUCGCGGCUUACGUAGUAAGCUGAGCACUCUUUUUUUGGAUAGUUUCACAUUUUCAUCCCAUGUUAUUGUGUUUACCGAAACCUGGUUAAAGCCGGACAUUCUUAGUUCCGAAGUUUUGGUAGAUCGGUACACAAUUUAUAGGAAUGAUCGUUCGUCUCGACGUGGAGGAGGGGCUCUGAUUGCAGUAAACUCUUACUUUACGUCGGAACUUUUCAUAGUUUAGGUCUCACAAGACCUGGAAUUCCUCUGUGUUAGACUGAUUCUUCCCGGCCAGUCUAUUUAUGUCACUUGCUCGUAUAUUACACCAACUUCGGAUGUAUUAAUAUACGAGCAGCACUUGUCCGCCUUAAAAACUGUUUUUUCCUGUCUAUCUGAUAAAGACCAUUUAAUAGUUCUUGGGGAUUUCAACCUGGUCUUCGGUUAACGAGUCAAACAACCUUGUGCCCAUGUCAGGAUAUGAUUUUAUUGUAGGCUUAUUAGAACUGUCCCUGUCUUAAGUGAACCAUGUGAAACAUUCCUUUAGUGAUUGAUUGAUAUGUGCUUUGUCUCGGAUCCGACCGUUGCGUUGCUAACACGAGCGCUUCCGCUCACUAUUCCUGAAGACUGCUAUCAUCCUACUUUCGAAGUGCCGGUAUGUUUAGGACGUCCGUUGCUUUUGUAAAGUCGAGUUUAUUAAGCUCAAGCUCUGACUUUAUUGAAGGCACAAACAUUUUUUAAAGUGUUUUUAGCACAAUUUUCGAGUGUGUCCCACUCUUGUUUCCGAUUAGAUAUAAGAAGCCUUCUUGGUUCACCAAAGAGCUAUCCAGUCUUAAGAACCUAAAAUCAAGAAAAAGUCUUGAUUAAAAAUAAUCUCUUCUCUUUCUAGUUAUUUAAUAGCUCGGUCCAGUUCCACUGUUCUUAAUGCUCAAUGCUAUAGGAACUACCUACUUCGAAGCAGGAUACGCUUUUCAUAGAACCCUGAACAGUUUUAUCUGUUUAAAAGCGUUGUAAACAGUAAGCGUAGAAAGUCCGCACUUCAUCCUCCCUAUCAUUUCUGAAUACGUCGGCAAACAAUGAUCUUUGAUCGGCAAUUGCCGAUCUUUUUGCACAAUUGUUUCAAACAAAUUAUUUUCAGGAAUGCUACUCUGGUCAUGUGUAUCCAUACAGUUUAUCAAGCUCCAACCGCAUUUUCUGCCCUUUUUAAAUUAAAGCUCACUUCUUCAUGGUCUUCGAUAAGUAAAGAGUGUGAAAAGUAAGGGGCCUAAAUGGCUACCCUGUGGUACUCCAGAAGUAACCAUAACAGGUAAAAAUAAGAAGUUUUGAAAAGGACCCUUUGAGACCUAGAACACAGGUAGCUAGAAAUCCAUUUCAACAGAUUGGGCGGAAACUCUAGAAGGUCGAGCUUUUGUGCAAGAAGAAAAUUGUUUACAGAAACGAAUGCCUUACUGAAGUCAGUGUAAAUAACAUCCGUCUGCAAGUUACCUUGGAAUCCUUUAAUGACAAAGGAGGUGAACUCUAAAAGAUUAGUGGUUGUUGAUCGUCGCCGUAUAAAUCCGUGCUGAGCUGGAGAUAUAAGUGAUUUGCAGAGAUGUUGCAAGUGAGGAGAACGCUGGAACGCGUCACAAUUUUUGUACCCGGUCAGUGUGUUCAUAUUUACAUGUACACUACUGUCCACAAAAAUAAGUACACGCUUAAGAACUUUCUUUCAUGACUCCUACAACUUUUUUGCUAAAUGCAAAUGAAAAAUCCGACUCGUUUAUGGCAUUCUAACCUGUUAAAAUGUUUAUUAGUAUAUUGUGACGACGCAUAAUUUUGUAGUAUGUAAGUAGUUAUAAUUAUGAAGUCUUUGUUAUAUAUAUAGGGUUAAGUUUUCACUAAGAAAGUUAUUUGUUUUAUAUUUUAUUAGGUAUUAAGGAGAGGUACUAUGAAGUCUUUAUUAUUAAGUUUAUAAUUUUCCAUUAUUAGUUUCUAAGUUAUAUUAUAAGGUGAAAUUCUGAAGUCAUAAUUUAAGUUCGCGGCCCACAGUAACCAACAGCAGCAGAGCCAAAGAGAACGGCGACGCGAACCAACAGCAGCAAAGCCAAAGAGAACGACGACGUGAGCCAGCAGCAGAGCCAAAGAGAACGACGACGAGAGCCAGCAGCAGAGCGGCAGAAGCAGAGCCAGAGAUCAACGCCGAGAGCCAGCAGCAGAGAAGCAGAGCGAGAGAGCAAGGGCGCCGGCAGCAGCCCGAGAGCUGCCAACACUAAGAAGUCCACCGGCGUGGGUAGCGACGGCUGCGCAGCCCGGACAAGGGACCGCAGCUAAGGGCUCGCGAUCGCCACGCAGAACUCGCCUCGAGGAGAAAUGUUUCGAGCACCGGGAGGACCAGUCGAGAUCGCUGCGGCGACAAAAGUGAAAAGAGUAAAAAGUGCGCCAUAACCCCAACGUUGCCCACGAGAGGCUCAAGACCGAGCGCCAGGCGAGGAGACAAAAAGACCGAUAGGCUCGAGAGGAUCGGGUAAGCGAGGCUGGGUGAGCCCCACCCUUUUUCUAGUACGACUUAGUUUGGUGCGACGUAGGUAGGGACAUAGGAAAUUUAAGUACAUACGGCGGUAAGACAGGGAAAAGACAAGGAAAAAAAUAUGAAAUAAAGAUACCAGAAUAAAGAAACAAAACUAAACAAUGUGCUCGUGUGUAACAGUGUAAAUUUAACCCUUUCCCCCUCCCAAAGUGCAAGACGAUAAGUGUGGUCGCCCACCGUUGGAGGCUCCGCAGGUCACUACCGCGCCAGACCGCGGGCUCUCAAACGGCGCGUGCCUGCCUCCGAAACGGGUGCUGCCUAGGUACUACCAGGGGCGCUCGCGUCGGAGCAGACAGGGGCGGCUACACUGCCAGAAGGCGUCUCCACUAACCACCGGAUGACCGGUGUCAAUCAGGUUCCCUUUCCGCCCCAUAAGCCCACCUUUCCACACACGGCGUCUCCAUUUCCGCAAUCUCGGGUCCCGGCACUUUACAAAUUUCUUUGUAAGGUGGCCCUGGAGAGGCUGAGCUACCUCAGCCUUCGAAAAGACUACCUUAUAGAUGGCGCCCGAGCAGGGACUCCGGGAUUGUUAGCAUUUUUUUCGCUAGAUUUUUCGGACGGGGGCGCGGAAAUAGAGUAAAGAGCUAGAGUGAGGAGAGGUUAGGGUAUUUCAGGAGGAAGGUUCAGUAGCCCCUAAGACGUCCCCAUGCGCGUAUUGCCGUCAUUCGGCAAUAGGCUGUCCCGCAGUCGUAUCGCACCGGCGCGCCACGCGUAUACAUACAUGUAUGUUUACAUGAAUAUAUGCGCGCGGAUUGCGGCAAUCCAACAGACGACAACAAAUGAUGCGUCGCUUUGCGCGACCGAGUCCGUAUACAUCCAUGGCAAAUGUAGUUCUGCGCUUUUGCACACAGGGGGGGGGGGGGGUGCGUUUCAUUUGUUUUUGAAAUUUAGGUUUCCCUUAACAUAGGCCGGACUGCAUGCACACGAGUGCAUUUUCACAAACACCUUCACGUGGGCACAGUUUCACGGACACUGGGGCACCAAAAACCACACAUGCACAGUUUUAAAGUAAUUGGCCAGGGGUUUCUUUUGCACGCGUUUCAGCACUUUUGCCAAUUGCACAGUUUCACGUACACUGGGGCACCCAAAACCACACAUGCACAGUUUGAAAGUAAUUGGCCAGGGGUUUAUUUUGCACGCGUUUCGGCACUUUUGCCAAUUGCCCAGUUUUACGGACACUGGGACACCCAAAAGCACACGGGAACAGUUGGAAAAUCAUUGGUCAAGGUUUUGUUGUUUCCGGUUUACACACUGUACGGGAAAAUGCCCAGUUUUCAAGGAACUUAUACGUGCCAGUGAGAGGCAAGCGGGAGUGCGCACACACGAGGUUCUCAGGGCCCACAGGGCAGACAAAGUAAACAUUUCGGAGCUACGAGGAGCAGAGAGAUCGCACAGAAAAGAGGUUAUAUUUUUUUGGGUGAUCGCAUCUACGAAGGUCGGAAGAGAGAGAGGCGGGCCAAGCAGCGCUCGUGAACUCUCCGUCACGAUUGUUCGGCCGCAAAUGAAUCCCCCAUAAAUUAAGCUAGCAGAGCAUAAAAGAGGACAGUCGACCCAGAGUCAUUGAGCAGUGCACAUCGUUCCUAAUCAUAAACAUUCUGACCAAGUGAAAACAAAAGGAUUUACCAGGGAUACUACGGGUAUACAACAAGGACAUCGCACAGGAUACUAGAACCAAGGACAUCGCACAGGAUAACACUUCGAUACAACAAGGAUACUAGGAACAAGGACAGCCCACAGGAUACCAAGGAUACAUUGCACAGGCAUAGCACAGGACACAGCUGGAAUACAACAAGGACACAAGCGACACCGGAAUCAAGGCACAGGACCCAGGACACGGGAGCAGACUCCACAUAGCAGCAUGGUAGGAGUCGGAUGGAUCUCGUACCGGCGCAAGGCGGAACUGGAGGCAUUCGCCAAGGAAUUCAGACUCGAACGAGAAGGCCCCGUGGAGGAACUCCGAGGCCGCAUGUCUGCCUUUGUGAACCGUGGGGGACACUCGGCUUCCAUCCAGGCCCGCCUAGAGGAACUUGAAGACACCUUUGGACGAGCACGGACUCCAGACACCAAGCCAGAAACACAGCAGCGAUCUCGGAGCCUCUCGCCUACUACGAGUGGAAAUGGACCCCAAGCGAAGGAAAUUCCCCAAGAAGAACCAACCAGACCGGGGAUGCAUUACGUAAGCAUACCGGUGCCCGGACAGCAGCAGUUCGUGUCGCGAACCAACGAGAGGGUGAUGCUACCAAAUCAAUGCGACGUCUCCGGAGCUAGGGGCGUGGAGCGCAUGCAACGCUGGGGAGUCACUUUUGACGGCGUCAGCGAUCCCUUGCGAUUCAUCGAGCGGUUGGAGGAACGAGCCGUAUCACACCGAGUGGACACCAGCAGUUUGGCCCAAGGAGUACCGGAACUUUGAAAAGGUACUGCCGAGGACUGGUUCCGCACGAGUCAUCUACAGGGAGAGCCAUGGAACGUGUUUCGCCGGGAGUUUUUGGAUUUCUUCCUACCCCCGCGGUACUUUCAGAGACUGGAGGACGAGAUCAGGAUGCGAUACCAGAGGGAAAACGAGGGAUAAAAGCAGUAUCUAGUGGACAUUUGCCUAAUGAUGAACCGCGCUGGUUACUCGGAAGCUCAGGAACUCGAACUGCCGGAACUGCGGAGUACUUGGACACUUUGCCAGGGAAUGCCGUGGAACUCGGACACUAUUCUGCUGGAACUGUGGCCGCCGAGGAGUGAGGACCAUCGACUGCUGCCAGGCUAAGGAGACGGGAAACGCCCAUCGCCCCUCAUCAAACCCAGGACAGAUGAGAGGGCCAACGAGCGAGUCCUGGGACUAGCGGGACUAGCGUCCGCGAGAUGGCAGGCUUGCCGCCGAGGCAAGCAUCGAGGCUGAGGUGAUGAUAGCGACGCUGGACACGGGGGCCACGCGGAGUUUCCUCAGCAAGCAGAAGGCACGACUCAUCGAGACCCCGGCUAACAGACGAACAGUUUGAACAACAAUAGCUUUGGCAAAUGGGACAAGGAUGGAACUAACGCGGGCAAUUCAAGCAGAGGUACGACUCGGACAAUCACGGGCUAGCCUCCUGAUGCUGGUCCUGCCAUCGGCUCUCGACGACGUGCUACUCGGAUUGGAUUUCUUUGCCGCCAUAGAUGCCAAGCUGCAGGUAGGAGGGUUGCUCAUGCCCUUGAGCAGAGCCAACCACGUAACCACGGAGUGCCACCGACCAGCGAGGACAAACCAGGACGACGCCUGCAUCCGCGAGGCGGUCGUCACAUCAACAGAGACCACGGGGACACUCAAAGACGACGCCUGCAUCCGCGAGGCGGUCGUCACACGACCAUGGAGGACAAGGAAUCAAGAUGAUCCCGGCACCUGCAACCGCGAGGUGGCCGGCGGGUCAUCAUCGACGACGAGGUCAAGCAAGGACGACGCCUGCAUCCGCGAGGCGGUCGUCACGCGACCAGGGAGGACAAGGAAGCAAGAUGAUCCCGGCAUCUGCAACCGCGAGGUGGCCGGGGAUCAUCUGUGGCCCCCCAUCGAUGACAAGGAAAAGCAACCUUAGCACCUUAGCAGUGAGAACGAGGACCACACAGGACGACGCCUGGAUCCCAGCCAUGCAAGGGAUAAUUCACGCGCAAGUAGACGAGUUACUACGGGACGGAUGCAUCGAGCCGUCCAAAAGCCCACACAGUGCCCCUAUUGUGUUGGUGGGCAAGAAAACUGGAGAAACCCGCAUGUGUGUGGACUUUCGGCAACUCAAUGCACGAUCGGUACCGGAUGCAUACCCCCUGCCGAGGAUAAAUUCAAUCUUGGAGAGAUUGCGGAACGCUAAGUAUAUUAGCACAUUGGACUUGAAAAGCGGGUAUUGGCAGAUACCAUGGCCAAGGCAAGCCGUGAAUGCACCGCGUUCACAGUACCAGGCCGAGGUCUUUUCCAAUGGCGUGUUAUGCCAUUUGGACUCCACUCAGCACCCGCAACAUUCCAGAGGGCACUCGACAGCGUCAUCGGGGCAGAUAUGGAACCCCACGCGUUCGCAUAUCUCGAUGACAUCAUCAUCAUUGGAACCACAUUGGAGGAACACGUCAGGAAUCUCAGAGAAGUGUUGAGGCGCUUACGGCAAGCGAACCUCAGGCUUAACCGGAAGAAGUGCCUCUUCUUCCAGCGCAGGUUGGUGUACCUGGGGCACGUCGUUAGAAAGGAAGGAAUUCACACCGAUCCCGAGAAGAUCGCCGCUGUCCAAAAGCUCGCAGCUCCAACCAGUGUACGAGAACUACGCCGAUGCCUGGGUCUCGCCUCCUGGUACAGGCGAUUUGUCCCAAACUUUGCAGCCGUGGUACAACCGAUGUCACAGCUACUUCGGAAAGGCAAGAAAUGGACGUGGGAAAUGCCACAACAGCAAGCGUUCGCACAACUCAAGGAACUACUGACCGAGGCACCAGUUCUCGCGUGUCCGGAUUUUACCAGUAAGUUCUCUUUCCAGACUAACGCCAGCGACUACGGACUAGGAGGAGUACUAACCCAGCCGAGUGCCGACGGCGAGAGGGUCAUUGCAUAUGUGAGCCGGAGACUAUCGAGGGCCGAGGAGAAUUACUCCGCCACCGAGAAGGAAUGCUUAGCAAUCGUCUGGGCCAUCAGGAAGCUGCGUUGCUAUUUGGAAGGAUACAGGUUCGACGUCGUGACGGACCACUUGGCCCUCAAGUGGCUCAACACGAUCGAAAAUCCCACAGGACGAAUUGCACGAUGGGCCCUGGAACUCCAACAGUUCCAGUUCGACAUUCACUACCGGAAAGGANGAGUACUAACCCAGCCGAGUGCCGACGGCGAGAGGGUCAUUGCAUAUGUGAGCCGGAGACUAUCGAGGGCCGAGGAGAAUUACUCCGCCACCGAGAAGGAAUGCUUAGCAAUCGUCUGGGCCAUCAGGAAGCUGCGUUGCUAUUUGGAAGGAUACAGGUUCGACGUCGUGACGGACCACUUGGCCCUCAAGUGGCUCAACACGAUCGAAAAUCCCACAGGACGAAUUGCACGAUGGGCCCUGGAGCUCCAACAGUUCCAGUUCGACAUUCACUACCGAAAAGGACGACAGAACGUUGUCGCAGACGCCUUGUCACGACAGCCACUCGAGGCCAUACAGAUAAUCAUCGAGGAACAGAACACAUGCGCAUGGAUACGACGACGCACACAGGUGACACUGGAGCGACCAGAGAAGUACCCCGAUUAUACCCUGGAGAACGGACAAUUGUACAGGAACGUAGGACAACGGCCCCUGGAGGAAGAUUUCAUACCAUGGAAGCUCUGUGUGUUGCUGCAAGAAUUCCACGACCAACCAAGCGCGGGACACCUGGGAAUACGCAAAACAACGACAAGGGUAUGUCAAAGAUAUUAUUGGCCCGGAAUCUUCAGAGACGUCGCUCGCUACGUAAGGAAAUGUGCUGUGUGCCAAAAGUUCAAGACGCAACAAGCCAAGCCAGCAGGGAAGAUGCUAACACGACAGGCAAGCGAGCCUUUCGCUACCAUUUGCGCCGACUUCGUUGGACCACUGCCGAGAUCCAAACAAGGUAACACAGUGUUACUAGUCUUCUUGGAUAUGUUUUCCAAAUGGGUGGAGUUGAUACCUCUGCGCCGUGCCACGGCAACAUACCUGGAGAAAGCUUUUCGCGACCGGAUCGAGGGACCGCAUAGUACAUGGGACACCCUGCUACCGGAGAUUGCAUUGGCAAUCAAUAGGAGCGUGUCCGACACAACAGGAUUCAGUCCGGCGUUCCUGGUCCAAGGACGAGAGCCGAGACUACCAGGAGCAUUGUACGAGGAAGUCACGCCAGGUAGGCCUUAUCAGCGAUGGCUAGGGCUUUGGUCCCGCUUUGUCGACAUGCUCCAAAAGGUCCGCCGUUCCCUGUUGUGUGUCGCUCGUAGCCGCCUUGUCCCGGCGGUGAUGUUGGAUGCUGCUGCGCUAACCUCUGGUUGGUAACCGUCGAACCACGAUCACUUCGUUGUGCACGAUAGCUUUCGGUUGCUGCCCAAGGCCGCCAAGUUAGCCCAACGGUACGAGGGGCCGUAUAAGGUAAUCAAAUUCGAUUCACACAACAUAGCCAGAGUUCGUCACACACUGGACAACGGCGCACCGCCGGGGUAGCCGACCUAAAGGCCUUCCAGCAACACGACGACGAGGAACAGCAGGACAGCGAAGACGGCGAGCACCCGCUCGAUCGCAACACAGACGACCAGCCAGGACUAGCAAGUAAAUUUGGGGCCGCCCACAAGGCGGUAGUAAUAUUUCGUUAGGGUAUUUUCAAGUUUCGUCCUGUAGAGCAUAGUCUGUCCAUAGGCCCAGGGAUAUAACCUCGUUUAUAUCCCACAGCACUUAGUACGACCAUGGCCGACGAGGAGAUCGAGGAGCCGCGGCGACAGUGGGCAGACGAACGCCAAAACGACUGGGGCUGGGUUCCUCAGUAUCAUCGCCGGUUCGAGGGGUUCGACGACGAGGGAAACGAGGCCGAACCCGCCCGAGGACAUCAGCACGGAGCUUUUCCCGAGCACAGAGAGCGCCAUGUACCGAUACCUCUACCCGGAACCGGAUUCGUGGCUGCAACCAGAGGACGAAGAGGUGGAGAGAGUCGCCCGGGUGGCCGUCAUCAGUGACGAGUUAGGGGUGUCGACGUCGCGAACAGCAGCAACACCGACUGCUUCAUCCGCUUCGCUCGAGCUAUCGCCAGCCCAAGACACCGACGAGCUGGACUUGUCGUUCGGCACCAGCGACCUCCAUGCUCUUCUCGGACCAGAAGUUGAUGUCAAAGCCCUGAGGAGGAGGAAAAGUGGGUUGAGACACCUGCCGAAUUGCGGACGAAUACCCCACGCCGACUCAUCCCCCGGAGCCUCGUUGAAAUGGUCCGAACAAGCCAACAACAGGGGACCUGGAGGCGACGCUUCACCCUGGAGUGGCCGGAAAUUAUGAAGUCUUUGUUAUAUAUAUAGGGUUAAGUUUUCACUAAGAAAGUUACUUGUUUUAUAUUUUAUUAGGUAUUAAGGAGAGGUACCAUGAAGUCUUUAUUAUUAAGUUUAUAAUUUUCCAUUAUUAGUUUCUAAGUUAUAUUAUAAGGUGAAAUUCUGAAGUCAUAAUUUAAGUUCGCGGCCCACAGUAACCAACAGCAGCAGAGCCAAAGAGAACGGCGACGCGAACCAACAGCAGCAGAGCCAAAGAGAACGACGGCGUGAGCCAGCAGCAGAGCCAAAGAGAACGACGAAGUGAGCCAGCAGCCCGAGAGCGGCCAGAAGCAGAGCAGAGCAGAGAAGCAGAGCCAGAGAACGACGACGCGAGCCGCCAACAGAACAGAGAGAGCAACGCCGAGAGCCAGCAGCAGAGCAGCAGAACGAAACGAGAACGACGACGAGAGCCAGCAUCAGAGCGGCAGAAGCAGAGCCAGAGAGCAACGCCGAGAGCCAGCAGCAGAGCAGAAGAGCGGCAGAAGCAGAGCGAGAGAGCAAGGGCGCCGGCAGCAGCCCGAGAGCGGCCAACACAAAGAAAUCCACCGGCGUGGGUAGCGACGGCUGCGCAGCCCGGACAAGGGACCGCAGCUAAGGGCUCGCGAUCGCCACGCAGAGCUCGCCUCAAAAAGAAAUGUUUCGAACACCGGGAGGACCAGUCGAGAUCGCUGCGGCGACAAAAGUGAAAAGAGUAAAAAGUGCGCCAUAACCCCAACGUUGCCCACGAGAGGCUCAAGACCACGUGCCCACGAGAGGCUCAAGACACCGAGCGCCAGGCGAGGAGACAAAAAGACCGAUAGGCUCGAGAGGAUCGGGUAAGCGAGGCUGUGGGCCUCACCCUUUUUCUAGUACAACUUAGUUUGGUGCGACGUAGGUAGGGACUUAGGAAAUUUAAGUACAUACGGCGGUAAGACAGGGAAAAAGACAAGAAAAAUAUGAAAUAAAGAUAUGAGAAUAAAGAAACAAAACUAAACAAUGUGCUCGUGUGUAACAGUGUAAAUUUAACCCUUUCCCUCCCUUCCAAAGUGCAAGACGGUAAGUGUGGUCGCCCACCGUUGGAGGCUCCGCUGGGCUG